Non-coding RNA from Balaenoptera acutorostrata (minke whale), 528 nucleotides. Lineage: Eukaryota; Metazoa; Chordata; Mammalia; Artiodactyla; Balaenopteridae. The record is from the annotation of a RefSeq genome assembly.
AUGGCCUGGGCUCCUCUCCUCCUCACUCUCUUCGCUCAUUGCACAGGUGGACGCCUGCAGGGAAUUCUGGGAGGGCUCCUGUUUGUCACCUGGGAGGAUGACCUCUCCCCCGUCCCUGGGAAUGGGAUCUGUCCUGUCCUCACUGGGUCUUGGGCAGAGGUUGUGUUGACUCAGCCCCGCUCUGUGUUGGGGUCUCUGGAGCAGAAGGUCACUAUCUCCUGCACUCGCAGCAGCGGUAACUUUGGGAGUUACUAUGUGCACUGGUACCAGCAGCGCCCGGGCAGUGCCCUCACCACCGUAAUCUACAAGGAUGACCAAAGACCCUCCGGGGUUCCCAAUCGUUUCUCUGGCUCCAUUGACACCUCCUCCAGUGCUGCCUACCUGACCAUCUCUGGGCUGCAGCCUGAGGAAGAGGCCAACUACUACUGUCAGUCCGGUUAUGACAGCAACAAGGACACAGUGCUCCAGACCCAUGGAGAAGUGAGAUCAAAAUUCCCCAGAGCCUCCCUGUCCAGGGUCUGCCUUUGA